GUUUGACCUCGGAUCAGGUAGGGAUACCCGCUGAACUUAAGCAUAUCAAUAAGCGGAGGAAAGAGACCACAGGGAUUGCCUCAGUAACGGCGAGUGAAGCGGCAACAGCUCAAAUUUGAAAUCUGACUCCGUCGGGAGCCCGAGUUGUAAUUUGGAGAGGGCGCUUCGGGCGCGGUGCCGGUCUAAGUUCCUUGGAACAGGACGUCGCAGAGGGUGAGAAUCCCGUACGCGACCGGCGAUCAAGCCCAUGUGAAGCCCCUUCGACGAGUCGAGUUGUUUGGGAAUGCAGCUCCAAACGGGUGGUAAAUUUCAUCUAAAGCUAAAUAUUGGCCAGAGACCGAUAGCGGACAAGUAGAGUGAUCGAAAGAUGAAAAGCACUUUGGRAAGAGAGUCAAACASUACGUGAAAUUGUUGAAAGGGAAGCGCUUGCAAUCAGACCGGUCCGGGGGCGAUCAGCCGCGGCUUGUCCGCGGUGCACGCGCCCCCGAUCCGGCCAGCAUCGGUUUGGGCGGCGGGACAAAAGGCUCGGGAACGUAGCUUCUUUCGGGGAGUCUUAUAGCCCGGGUCGCAAUGCCGCCCGCCUGGACCGAGGACCGCGCUUCGGCUAGGAU
RNAcentral lists this ribosomal RNA (611 nucleotides) under Lobaria hallii. RNAcentral's name for it is "LSU rRNA". It matches the Rfam family "Eukaryotic large subunit ribosomal RNA", at positions 1 to 624 of the family's 3401-position model. The record is from RNAcentral. Lineage: Eukaryota; Fungi; Ascomycota; Lecanoromycetes; Peltigerales; Lobariaceae.